GGACGUCAGCUGGGAUUGGCAAGUUUCACCUCAUUCUGGAGCUGUACUGAGUCAUGUAUAGAUAUGUAUGAUUACGGGUAUGUCCGGGCCCUGUCCUGACUCAUAAUGUUCAGUUCACUUCUUAGAGACUUCUGCAGACAGUGUCCUGUGGUAUAUUUGUCGAGAUGUCGAUAAAGUGAUAUCAGUUGAGUCAUUUGUGGAUUUUAAAAGAGUUUUGAUAGAGCGAAUGUCUAAGGGUUCGCUCGACUCUGAUGAGAGUCGGGUGCCCGUCAUGCCCUACCAUUGUUAGGGUGUGACAAAAUGGUAUCAGAGCAGUUCGUUCUCGGGGUUGUCUGCAAAGUCGUGUCAGGUAGAGUCUUGUUGAUGGGUGUGUUGUCGACCACACUUAUGAACAGGAGGCUACAGGGCAUCUAGGAUGGUUUACCUUCAUUCAGAUCAUAGAUUGUGCUAUAGAGCUGUGUUAUAGGCCUUGAAUCCUUGCUGCUAACUUUAAGAUUUGAAUUUUGAUUAAGUGAUUGUAAAGUGCAGCCAUGAUUGCGAAAUUGGAAUUGUUAGUAAGAAAGGUAAGUUCUCUGAUGAUUAAUGAUUGCUAUGUGAGGUAAGUGCUGCGGGUUAAGGAUUGCAGUAAGAAAGGUAUGCUUCUUAUCGAAUUGAGAAUGCCAUUUGUGAAGAGCAUUUGUACAGGUAUGUAUAGGGUGUUGUAAUAUGAUUGUGGCCCUGUGAGGCAUGUUGAUAUAUUUUGAUUGUUGCCCUGUGAGGCUUGUUGGUUAGCUGUGUACAGGUGGGUAGUACAAAUUACAGAGGAGGUUCUGCCGAAAUUUUAUUAAAAUUGAUUGUGAUCAGUAGAUAUAUGUGUGCUAUGAUCAGUACGAUACACAAGUGUAAACUGAAGAAUGAAAGGUUAAUAAUAGUUGUAAAUCGGCUAAAAGAAGGGUUAUGAGAUAGGUUCAGAAUGAGUUUGAGAGUUAGGUUGAAAUUACUCGAGGAUAUAGAAGUGAGUCGAGGGUUAAGUUAAGUUCUCUUGGGGAUUAGAAGUAAGGUUGAUGAACUAAGAUUAAUGUGAUUCAAAUAAUGUGAUAAGAUUACGAGAAGACACAUAAGAGGGGAAGCAAUGAUAAGCAAGGAGUCAUUCGAGAGUAAGCUUUAACGAGUAAAGAAUGAAACAAGGAAGAGAAAGAAACAUGAUUAUAUGUGUUUGAGGAAAGGGAGUAAUGUGAUAUUAGUAAGUGUUGGAAUUGGAUACGAGUAUUAGUCUUCAUUUAACAUUCGAGGACGAAUGUUUCUAAGAGGGGAAGGAUGUUACACUCCAGAAAAUUUCGCGUUACUAAGGCUGCAGACGGCUUAAUAUGAGCUCAAGGAGGAGCAAAUAUUACAAGUAUAAAGGAUGAAAUUCUACUGUAUUAGCAUGAGGACAGCAUGGGUAUGAUAUUAAGAAUGAUACGUUAAAAGAUAUAUAGCCCUCGUAAUCGUAAGCUAAG
Molecule: long non-coding RNA, 1478 nt
Organism: Lycium ferocissimum
Lineage: Eukaryota; Viridiplantae; Streptophyta; Magnoliopsida; Solanales; Solanaceae
Exons: 3
Source: RefSeq, a predicted model, not a curated record